UACGUAGGGUGCAAGCGUUGUCCGGAAUUAUUGGGCGUAAAGAGCUCGUAGGCGGUUUGUCGCGUCUGCUGUGAAAAACCCCGAGGCUCAACCUCGGGGCCUGCAGUGGGUACGGGGCAGACUAGAGUGCGGUAGGGGGAGAUUGGAAUUCCUGGUGUAGCGGUGGAAUGCGCAGAUAUCAGGAGGAACACCAAUGGCGAAGGCAGAUCUCUGGGCCGUAACUGACGCUGAGGAGCGAAAGCAUGGGGAGCGAACAGG
Molecule: ribosomal RNA, 258 nt
Filed under: uncultured bacterium
Lineage: Bacteria
Description: partial 16S ribosomal RNA
Rfam family: Bacterial small subunit ribosomal RNA
Source: RNAcentral